Molecule: ribosomal RNA, 254 nt
Filed under: uncultured bacterium
Lineage: Bacteria
Description: partial 16S ribosomal RNA
Rfam family: Bacterial small subunit ribosomal RNA
Source: RNAcentral
UACGUAGGGUGCGAGCGUUAAUCGGAAUUACUGGGCGUAAAGCGUGCGCAGGCGGUUUUGUAAGCCAGAUGUGAAAUCCCCGGGCUUAACCUGGGAAUGGCAUUUGGGACUGCAAGGCUCGAGUGCGGCAGAGGAGACUGGAAUUCCUGGUGUAGCAGUGAAAUGCGUAGAUAUCAGGAGGAAUACCGAUGGCGAAGGGCAGGUCUCUGGGCUGACACUGACGCUCAUGCACGAAAGCGUGGGGAGCAAACAGG